RNAcentral lists this ribosomal RNA (509 nucleotides) under Pycnonotus plumosus (olive-winged bulbul). RNAcentral describes it as "partial 16S ribosomal RNA". It matches the Rfam family "Bacterial large subunit ribosomal RNA", at positions 1844 to 2555 of the family's 2925-position model. The record is from RNAcentral. Lineage: Eukaryota; Metazoa; Chordata; Aves; Passeriformes; Pycnonotidae.
AUUGUGAGGUGAUGCCUGCCCGGUGCCCACAGGUUUACUGGCCGCGUCAUCAUAACCCCGCAUCUAUGACGCACUUGAUUGUGCCGUGAAUCGGGAUCAGAAUGGAUGGUUAAACGAGGUCUUAACUGUCUCUUACAGGCAAUCAGUGAAAUUGAUCUCCCUGUGCAAAAGCAGGGAUAACCACAUAAGACGAGAAGACCCUGUGGAACUUCAAAAACAGCAACCACCCUAAAAUACAUACACACCCACCCCGGGCUCACUUAACUUACAGGUGACUGGUCUGCAUUUUUUCGGUUGGGGCGACCUUGGAGCAAAACAAAACCUCCAAAUAUUAGACCAUUCCUCUAGACUGAGAGCAACUCCUCAACGUGCUAAUAGCAACCAGAUCCAAUACAAUUGAUCAAUGGACCAAGCUACCCAGGGAUAACAACCCAAUCUCCCUUCGAGAGUCCAUAUCCGACGGGGAGGUUUUACGACCUCGAUGUUGGGAUCAGGACAUCCUAAAUGGG